GGGCCCGCACAAGCGGCGGAGCAUGCGGAUUAAUUCGAUGCAACGCGAAGAACCUUACCAAGGCUUGACAUAUAGAGGAAAAGUGCAGAAAUGCACUCCCCGCAAGGUCUCUAUACAGGUGGUGCAUGGUUGUCGUCAGCUCGUGUCGUGAGAUGUUGGGUUAAGUCCCGCAACGAGCGCAACCCUCGUCCUAUGUUGCCAGCAGUUCGGCUGGGCACUCUAUGGAAACUGCCUGUGAUAAGCAGGAGGAAGGUGUGGAUGACGUCAAGUCCUCAUGGCCCUUACGGGUUGGGCUACACACGUGCUACAAUGGUAGUGACAAUGGGUUAAUCCCAAAAAGCUAUCUCAGUUCGGAUUGGGGUCUGCAACUCGACCCCAUGAAGUCGGAAUCGCUAG
This 396-nucleotide ribosomal RNA is filed under the name uncultured bacterium. RNAcentral describes it as "bacterial SSU rRNA". It matches the Rfam family "Bacterial small subunit ribosomal RNA", at positions 917 to 1338 of the family's 1533-position model. The record is from RNAcentral.